GAUGAACGCUGGCGGCGUGCCUAAUACAUGCAAGUCGAGCGAAUGGAUUAAGAGCUUGCUCUUAUGAAGUUAGCGGCGGACGGGUGAGUAACACGUGGGUAACCUGCCCAUAAGACUGGGAUAACUCCGGGAAACCGGGGCUAAUACCGGAUAACAUUUUGAACCGCAUGGUUCGAAAUUGAAAGGCGGCUUCGGCUGUCACUUAUGGAUGGACCCGCGUCGCAUUAGAUAGUUGGUGAGGUAACGGCUCUCCAAGGCAACGAUGCGUAGCCGACCUGAGAGGGUGAUCGGCCACACUGGGACUGAGACACGGCCCAGACUCCUACGGGAGGCAGCAGUAGGGAAUCUUCCGCAAUGGACGAAAGUCUGACGGAGCAACGCCGCGUGAGUGAUGAAGGCUUUCGGGUCGUAAAACUCUGUUGUUAGGGAAGAACAAGUGCUAGUUGAAUAAGCUGGCACCUUGACGGUACCUAGCCAGAAAGCCACGGCUAACUACGUGCCAGCCGCCGCCGUAA
This 515-nucleotide ribosomal RNA is filed under the name uncultured bacterium. RNAcentral's name for it is "partial 16S ribosomal RNA". It matches the Rfam family "Bacterial small subunit ribosomal RNA", at positions 28 to 523 of the family's 1533-position model. The record is from RNAcentral.